CCUACGCGUGGCAGCAGUGGGGAAUAUUGCACAAUGGGGGAAACCCUGAUGCAGCGACGCCGCGUGAGUGCGGAAGUAUUUCGGUAUGUAAAGCUCUAUCAGCAGGGAAGAAAAUGACGGUACCUGACUAAGAAGCCCCGGCUAAUGCCGUGCCAGCAGCCGCGGUACUACGUAGGGGGCAAGCGUUAUCCGGAUUUACUGGGUGUAAAGGGAGCGUAGACGGAAUUGCAAGUCUGAUGUGAAAAUCCGGGGCCCAACCCCAGAAACGCAUUUGAAAAGGUAUUUCUAGAGUAUUGGAGAGGCAAGUGGAAUUCCUGGUGGAGCGGUGAAAUGCGUAGAUAUCAGGAGGAACACAAGGGGCGAAGGCGGCUUGCUGGAAGAUGACUGACGUUGAGGCUCGAAAGCGUGGGGAGCAAACAGGAGUAGAUACCCGGGUAGUC
RNAcentral lists this ribosomal RNA (440 nucleotides) under uncultured bacterium. RNAcentral describes it as "partial 16S ribosomal RNA". It matches the Rfam family "Bacterial small subunit ribosomal RNA", at positions 338 to 795 of the family's 1533-position model. The record is from RNAcentral.